Molecule: ribosomal RNA, 688 nt
Filed under: uncultured bacterium
Lineage: Bacteria
Description: bacterial SSU rRNA
Rfam family: Bacterial small subunit ribosomal RNA
Source: RNAcentral
UGACCUAGCUUGCUAGGUUGAUGGCGAGUGGCGAACGGGUGAGUAAUGCAUCGGAACGUGCCUUUUAGUGGGGGAUAACGUAGCGAAAGUUACGCUAAUACCGCAUAUUCUCUGAGGAGGAAAGCAGGGGGCCUUCGGGCCUUGCGCUAGAAGAGCGGCCGAUGUCGGAUUAGCUAGUUGGUGAGGUAAAGGCUCACCAAGGCAACGAUCCGUAGCGGGUCUGAGAGGAUGAUCCGCCACACUGGGACUGAGACACGGCCCAGACUCCUACGGGAGGCAGCAGUGGGGAAUUUUGGACAAUGGGCGCAAGCCUGAUCCAGCCAUGCCGCGUGAGUGAAGAAGGCCUUCGGGUUGUAAAGCUCUUUCGGCUGGGAAGAAAUCGCAUGGGCUAAUACCCUGUGUGGAUGACGGUACCAGCAUAAGAAGCACCGGCUAACUACGUGCCAGCAGCCGCGGUAAUACGUAGGGUGCGAGCGUUAUUCGGAAUUACUGGGCGUAAAGCGUGCGCAGGCGGUUGUGUAAGACAGACGUGAAAUCCCCGGGCUCAACCUGGGAACUGCGUUUGUGACUGCACGGCUAGAGUACGGCAGAGGGGGGUGGAAUUCCACGUGUAGCAGUGAAAUGCGUAGAGAUGUGGAGGAACACCGAUGGCGAAGGCAGCCCCCUGGGCCAGUACUGACGCUCAUCC